AGACCGAUAGCGAACAAGUAGAGUGAUCGAAAGAUGAAAAGCACUUUGGAAAGAGAGUUAAAAAGCACGUGAAAUUGUUGAAAGGGAAGCGCUUGCAGCCAGACUUGCCUGUAGUUGCUCAUCCGGGUUUUUACCCGGUGCACUCUUCUAUAGGCAGGCCAGCAUCAGUUUGGGCGGUUGGAUAAAGGUCUCUGUCAUGUACCUCCUUUCGGGGAGAACUUAUAGGGGAGACGACAUGCAACCAGCCUGGACUGAGGUCCGCGCAUCUGCUAGGAUGCUGGCGUAAUGGCUGUAAGCGGCCCGUCUUGAAACACGGACCAAG
RNAcentral lists this ribosomal RNA (322 nucleotides) under Phoma sp. RNAcentral's name for it is "partial large subunit ribosomal RNA". It matches the Rfam family "Eukaryotic large subunit ribosomal RNA", at positions 331 to 670 of the family's 3401-position model. Lineage: Eukaryota; Fungi; Ascomycota; Dothideomycetes; Pleosporales; Didymellaceae. The record is from RNAcentral.